Long non-coding RNA from Ochotona princeps (American pika), 488 nucleotides. RefSeq lists it as uncharacterized. The record is from RefSeq and is a predicted model, not a curated record. The transcript has 3 exons. Lineage: Eukaryota; Metazoa; Chordata; Mammalia; Lagomorpha; Ochotonidae.
UGCAUAAAAUAUGACUACCACUUCAGAGAUCUUUUUUUAUUUUUCCUUUGGAAGAGAAAUACACAUCUACCAACAUCAAAGGAUUUUGUUGAUCUAUGAAAGAACAAAGGGCAGCCAUUAAGGGAUCAUGAGGAGAGGCACCUGCUCACAUUAGGACAGAUGAGGCAUCCUUGAGAGAUGUUUGCCUUGGUCUUGAUGGCACACAGAGGCUACUCAGGCUCAGGGGAGAGAUACCAGAGAGCACAUCAACUGCAAGGCAGGCAGCAUCUCAACCAGCUAUUUUAGGAUCAUCAAGUUAUUCCAUGUAACGUAUUUAUCUAUUUGAGAAAUAGAGUUGCAGAGAGGAAAGGACACAGGCAGAGGAAGAGUGAGAGACCAAAAGUGUGCAUGGGCCCACGUUCUUGGAACUUCCUCUGCUGCUCUCCUAGACACACCUUCAUGGACCUGGAUUUGAAGUAGAGCAGCCAGACCUCCAGCUGGUGCCCCAA